CAAACUGAAGAUGGCGACCGGCGCACGGGUGAGUAACACGUAUCCAACCUACCGAUAACUCCGGAAUAGCCUUUCGAAAGAAAGAUUAAUACCGGAUAGCAUACGAAUAUCGCAUGAUAUUUUUUAUUUAAAGAAUUUCGGUUAUCGAUGGGGAUGCGUUCCAUUAGUUUUGUUGGCGGGGUAACGGCCCACCAAGACUACGAUGGAUAGGGGUUCUGAGAGGAAGGUCCCCCACAUUGGAACUGAGACACGGUCCAAACUCCUACGGGAGGCAGCAUG
This 279-nucleotide ribosomal RNA is filed under the name uncultured bacterium. Its description in RNAcentral is "partial 16S ribosomal RNA". It matches the Rfam family "Bacterial small subunit ribosomal RNA", at positions 77 to 353 of the family's 1533-position model. The record is from RNAcentral.